CGGCGGACGGGUGAGUAACACGUGGGUAAUCUGCCUUAUACAGGGGGAUAACAGUUAGAAAUGACUGCUAAUACCGCAUAAGCGCACGGGGACGCAUGUUUCUGUGUGAAAAACUCCGGUAGUAUAAGAUGAGCCCGCGUCUGAUUAGCUGGUUGGUGGGGUAACGGCCUACCAAGGCGACGAUCAGUAGCCGGCCUGAGGGGGUGAACGGCCACAUUGGGACUGAGACACGGCCCAAACUCCUACGGAAGGCAGCAG
RNAcentral lists this ribosomal RNA (258 nucleotides) under uncultured bacterium. RNAcentral's name for it is "partial 16S ribosomal RNA". It matches the Rfam family "Bacterial small subunit ribosomal RNA", at positions 96 to 354 of the family's 1533-position model. The record is from RNAcentral.